AUGUCCAUUGCGAACUUCAUUAUCUUGUGUUUGGACCGCGCCAUGGAGGUCCGUGACCUCACGCCGGAAGAAAGAUGGCUCAGGGGCACGAUCAAGCAUGCGCUGCUUGGGUUGGCCUCCCUGCAGGGUACCAUUGAGAGGCAGCGAUCGCGGCUUAGGUGGAUUCGCGAGGGGGAUGCGAACAAGAAAUUGUUCCACGCUGUGGCGAAUGGACGCAGAUCCAAGAAUUUCAUCCCUCACCUCAGGCACAAUGAUGAGGUGAUUAUGGAUCAACAACGGAAAGAGGAUAUCUUUACGGAUACGUACGAGCAACUGCUAGGUCGGACACAUUCGAGGGAGGCUGGUGUGGAU
RNAcentral lists this ribosomal RNA (351 nucleotides) under Triticum aestivum (bread wheat). Its description in RNAcentral is "partial small subunit ribosomal RNA". The record is from RNAcentral. Lineage: Eukaryota; Viridiplantae; Streptophyta; Magnoliopsida; Poales; Poaceae.